This 775-nucleotide ribosomal RNA is filed under the name uncultured Neocallimastigales. RNAcentral describes it as "partial large subunit ribosomal RNA". It matches the Rfam family "Eukaryotic large subunit ribosomal RNA", at positions 22 to 615 of the family's 3401-position model. Lineage: Eukaryota; Fungi; Neocallimastigomycota; Neocallimastigomycetes; Neocallimastigales. The record is from RNAcentral.
UAGAUGCGAGAGUAGAGCAUAUCAAUAAGCGGAGGAAAAGAAACUAACAAGGAUUCCCCUAGUAACGGCGAGUGAAGCGGGAAGAGCUCAAAUUUGAAAUCUUCAAGGUUUUACCUUGACGAAUUGUAGUUUAAAGAAGUGUUUUCUGUUGGUGUUUUGGUAAAAGUUCUUUGGAAUAGGACAUCAUAGAGGGUGAGAAUCCCGUAUUUGACCGUUACUUUCCAGCUGUGUGAUACACUUUCAAAGAGUCGGAUUGUUUGGGAAUGCAGUCCAAAAUGGGUGGUAAAUUUCAUCUAAAGCUAAAUAUUGGCGAGAGACCGAUAGCGAACAAGUACCGUGAGGGAAAGAUGAAAAGAACUUUGAAAAGAGAGUUAAACAGUACGUGAAAUUGUCAAAAGGGAAGCGUUUGACACCAGUGUUGUUUAGUUGAAAAUCAAUUCAAUAAUUUUUGAUUUUGAGUAGUAUUGACUUCAUCAGCUUGCUGCUUUCUUUUCAGAAAUUAUUGAAUGCACUUUUCAGUUAACAAGUCAACAUCAAUUUCUUUUGCUGUAAAAGGGUCAUUGGAAGGUGGCUUUCUUUUCGGAGAAAGUGUUUAUAGCCUUUGGCCUCUGCAGUCGGAGAGAUUGAGGUCUGCAGCGUAGAUCCUUCGGGGUUAGAUACAUUUGUGCUAAGUUAUAGCCUUUCAUAGACAACUUGUUGACUAUGAUCAGUCAUGUAGCUUACUCGCUUAUGCUAUUUUACCUACGCUUAGGAUGUUGACGCGCGUGUGUGCGUG